This 390-nucleotide ribosomal RNA is filed under the name uncultured bacterium. Its description in RNAcentral is "bacterial SSU rRNA". It matches the Rfam family "Bacterial small subunit ribosomal RNA", at positions 97 to 509 of the family's 1533-position model. The record is from RNAcentral.
GGCGGACGGGUGAGUAACACGUGGGGACCUACCCUUCGGUGAGGAAUACCGGCGAGAAAUCGUCGACAAGACCGCAUGGGCUCGGGAGACCGAGCAAAGCUCUCUCGGGAGCGCCGGAGGAUGGACCUGCGGCCGAUUAGCUGGUUGGUGGGGUAAGAGCCCACCAAGGCUGCGAUCGGUAGCUGGUCUGAGAGGAUGAUCAGCCACACUGGGAUUGAGAACGGCCCAGACUCCUACGGGAGGCAGCAGUGAGGAAUUUUCGGCAAUGGGCGCAAGCCUGACCGAGCAACGCCGCUGUGCAGGACGAAGGUCUUCGGAUCGUAAACUGCUUUUCUCCGGGACGAGAUAUGGACGGUACCGGAGGAAGAAGCCCCGGUCUGACUACGUGCC